UGGUGGGGUGACUUGUCUGGUUAAUUCCGUUAACGAACGAGACCUCGACCUGCUAAAUAGUGUGGGGAAUUCUCUGGAUUCUUCCAAACUUCUUAGAGGGACUAUCGGUGGUGUACCCGGUGGAAGUUCGAGGCAAUAACA
RNAcentral lists this ribosomal RNA (141 nucleotides) under uncultured eukaryote. Its description in RNAcentral is "partial 18S ribosomal RNA". It matches the Rfam family "Eukaryotic small subunit ribosomal RNA", at positions 1299 to 1458 of the family's 1831-position model. The record is from RNAcentral.